GGGGCGCGCCCCGGGCGGGGCGGGGGCACGGGGGGAACGCGAAGAACCUUACCUACUCUUGACAUCCAGAGAACUUAGCAGAGAUGCUUUGGUGCCUUCGGGAACUCUGAGACAGGUGCUGCAUGGCUGUCGUCAGCUCGUGUUGUGAAAUGUUGGGUUAAGUCCCGCAACGAGCGCAACCCUUAUCCUUUGUUGCCAGCGGUCCGGUCGGGAACUCAAAGGAGACUGCCAGUGAUAAACUGGAGGAAGGUGGGGAUGACGUCAAGUCAUCAUGGCCCUUACGAGUAGGGCUACACACGUGCUACAAUGGCAUAUACAAAGAGAAGCGACCUCGCGAGAGCAAGCGGACCUCAUAAARUAUSUCGUAGUCCGGAUUGGAGUCUGCAACUCGACUCCAUGAAGUCGGAAUCGCUAGUMAUCSUGGAUCAGAAUGCCACGGUGAAUACGUUCCCGGGUCUUGUACACA
This 466-nucleotide ribosomal RNA is filed under the name Citrobacter sp. Its description in RNAcentral is "bacterial SSU rRNA". The record is from RNAcentral. Lineage: Bacteria; Pseudomonadati; Pseudomonadota; Gammaproteobacteria; Enterobacterales; Enterobacteriaceae.